AACGCACCUUGCGCCCUUUGGUAUUCCGAAGGGCAUGUCUGUCUGAGCGUCGUUUAACUCUCAAACUCACUCUUCAGUCUUAGCACUUUAGAGUGGCCUUGUGACUGCACCACCCUUUAAGGGGGGAGGGUCGGUCUCUGGCCAGGUUUGGUUCAUGAGUGCAGUUGGCCUAGUCAGCUCACUUGAAAUACAUAGGCAUCCCGGUUCCUUUACUAAUUUCCACUGGACCUGGCUUGAUAGUAAUUUUGAAUAGCUACGGACCAAUGGGACUGAAAGAGGCAAUCAAGUGCUUUACAAACAUCUUUUGCUGAUUUACCCUUUGACCUCAGAUCAGGCAGGAAUACCCGCUGAACUUAA
This 357-nucleotide unclassified non-coding RNA is filed under the name uncultured fungus. RNAcentral describes it as "sequence contains ITS2". The stretch from base 1 to 52 matches the Rfam family "5.8S ribosomal RNA", at positions 103 to 154 of the family's 154-position model. The record is from RNAcentral. Lineage: Eukaryota; Fungi.